CAACCCCCUUACCUGCAUCCGAUACGGUCGAGCUAGAGUUUGGUAGGGGAGACUGGAAUUCCCUGGUGUAGCGGUGGAAUGCGCAGAUAUCAGGAGGAACACCGAUGGCGAAGGCAGGUCUCUGGGCCAAUACUGACACUGAGGAGCGAAAGCGUGGGGAGCGAACAGGAUUAGAUACCCUGGUAGUCCACGCCGUAAACGGUGGGCGCUAGUUGUGCGAACCUUCCACGGUUUGUGCGACGCAGCUAACGCAUUAAGCGCCCCGCCUGGGGAGUACGAUCGCAAGAUUAAAACUCAAAGGAAUUGACAGGGCCCCGCACAAGCAGCGGAGCAUGCGGCUUAAUUCGACGCAACGCGAAGAACCUUACCAAGGCUUGACAUAUACAGGAAUAUGGCAGAGAUGUCAUAGCCGCAAGGUCUGUAUACAGGUGGUGCAUGGUUGUCGUCAGCUCGUGUCGUGAGAUGUUGGGUUAAGUCCCGCAACGAGCGCAACCCUCGUUCUGUGUUGCCAGCAUUAAGUUGGGGACUCACAGGAGACUGCCGGGGUUAACUCGGAGGAAGGUGGGGAUGACGUCAAAUCAUCAUGCCCCUUAUGUCUUGGGCUGCACGCAUGCUACAAUGGCUGGUACAAACGGCUGCGAUACCGCAAGGUGGAGCGAAUCCGAUAAAGCCAGUCUCAGUUCGGAUUGGGGUCUGCAACUCGACCCCAUGAAGUCGGAGUUGCUAGUAAUCGUAGAUCAGCAACGCUACGGUGAAUACGUUCCCGGGGCUUGUACACACCGCCCGUCACAUCACGAAAGUCGGUAACACCCAAAGUCAGUGGCCCAACCGUAAGGAGGGAGCUGCCAAAGGUGGGAUCGGUGUUGGGAUGAAGUCGUAACAAGGUAAAGGGCGAAUUCGCGGCCGCUAAAUCAAUCGCCCUAUAAGGGGAG
Molecule: ribosomal RNA, 932 nt
Filed under: uncultured Actinomycetes bacterium
Lineage: Bacteria; Bacillati; Actinomycetota; Actinomycetes
Description: bacterial SSU rRNA
Rfam family: Bacterial small subunit ribosomal RNA
Source: RNAcentral